This 302-nucleotide long non-coding RNA is filed under the name Mytilus galloprovincialis (Mediterranean mussel). The record is from RNAcentral. Lineage: Eukaryota; Metazoa; Mollusca; Bivalvia; Mytilida; Mytilidae.
UAUGCCCCACCUACGAUAGUAGAGGGGCAUUAUGUUUUCUGGUCUGUGCGUCCGUCCGUCCGUCUGUCCGUUCGUUCGUCCGUCCGUCUGUCCCGCUUCAGGUUAAAGUUUUUGGUCGAGGUAGUUUUUGAUGAAGUUGAAGUCCAAUCGACUUCAAACUUGGUACACAUGUUCCCUAUGAUAUGAUCUUUCUAAUUUUAAUGCCAAAUUAGAGAUUUUACCCCAAUUUCACGGUCCACUGAACAUAGAAAAUGAUAGUGCGAGUGGGGCAUUCGUGUACUGAGGACACAUUCUUGUUUUUC